UCCCUGGAGGUCUAGUGAUUAGGCCUUGGCGCUCUCACUGUUGUGUCCUGGGUUCGAUUCCCUGCCAGGGAA
This 72-nucleotide transfer RNA is filed under the name Pangasianodon hypophthalmus (striped catfish). It matches the Rfam family "tRNA". Rfam says of the family: Transfer RNA (tRNA) molecules are approximately 80 nucleotides in length. Their secondary structure includes four short double-helical elements and three loops (D, anti-codon, and T loops). Further hydrogen bonds mediate the characteristic L-shaped molecular structure. tRNAs have two regions of fundamental functional importance: the anti-codon, which is responsible for specific mRNA codon recognition, and the 3' end, to which the tRNAs corresponding amino acid is attached (by aminoacyl-tRNA synthetases). tRNAs cope with the degeneracy of the genetic code in two manners: having more than one tRNA (with a specific anti-codon) for a particular amino acid; and 'wobble' base-pairing, i.e. permitting non-standard base-pairing at the 3rd anti-codon position. Lineage: Eukaryota; Metazoa; Chordata; Actinopteri; Siluriformes; Pangasiidae. The record is from Rfam by way of RNAcentral.